This 292-nucleotide ribosomal RNA is filed under the name uncultured bacterium. RNAcentral describes it as "partial 16S ribosomal RNA". The record is from RNAcentral.
GGACUACCCGGGUAUCUAAUCCCGUUCGCUCCCCUGGCUUUCGCACCUGAGCGUCAGGUACUCCCCAGGACACUGCCUUCGCCUUUGGUGUUCCUCCGGAUCUCUACGCAUUUCACCACUCCACCCGGAAUUCCGUGUCCCUCUGAAGCCCUCAAGUCUGUCAGUUUUCGAAGCACUUUCCCAGUUGAGCCAGGAACUGUCACUCCAAACUUAGCAGACCGCCUGCGUGCGCUUUACGCCCAGUAACUCCGGACAACGCUUGCCCCCUACGUAUUACCGCGGCGGCUGGCAC